Molecule: unclassified non-coding RNA, 329 nt
Filed under: uncultured fungus
Lineage: Eukaryota; Fungi
Description: partial contains 5.8S ribosomal RNA, internal transcribed spacer 2, and large subunit ribosomal RNA
Source: RNAcentral
AACGCAUAUUGCGCUCGAGACUCCGGUCAAGAGCAUGUCUGGCUCAGCGUCGUUUCACCCACUCGCCACCUCUUCCCUCUUCUUCGGAAGGGCGGACCAGGAAGGCGGACCUGGCUUUCCCCGUGACUCUCGCGACGAACGGGGUCGGCUGAAGAACAGAGGCUUGAGCAUGGCGCCGCACUAUGGCAGCCGGCUUGGUAGGUGGCUCACGCUACAUGCCGCCGGAGGCCGCAGCGCCGUGUUGUGAGGCCCGCAGGAACCGAUCCUCUCCGGAGGUCGGACACUCAACCAUCGACCUGAGCUCAGGCAAGACUACCCGCUGAACUUAA